UGAAACACCUUUUAGUCUCAUAG
This 23-nucleotide unclassified non-coding RNA is filed under the name Mus musculus (house mouse). RNAcentral's name for it is "oocyte_clustered_small_RNA10878". The record is from RNAcentral. Lineage: Eukaryota; Metazoa; Chordata; Mammalia; Rodentia; Muridae.